Molecule: ribosomal RNA, 1408 nt
Filed under: metagenome
Description: SSU rRNA
Rfam family: Eukaryotic small subunit ribosomal RNA
Source: RNAcentral
GGUAAGGGUUCGACUCCGGAGAGGGAGCCUGAGAAACGGCUACCACAUCCAAGGAAGGCAGCAGGCGCGCAAAUUACCCACUCUCGGCACGAGGAGGUAGUGACGAAAAAUAACGAGACGGAUCUCUUUGAGGCCCGUUAUCGGAAUGAGAACAAUUCAAAUCCUUUCACGAGGUUCUAGCGGAGGGCAAGUCUGGUGCCAGCAGCCGCGGUAAUUCCAGCUCCGCAGGUGUAUAUCUAUGCUGCUGCGGUUAAAAAGCUCGUAGUUGGAUCUGCGUGCUCGGAACUGGUUGGCUCACUGAGUUCAAACUGGUCUCCGGCGCUUUAUUGGCCGGUUUUCCCUUGAUGCUCUUAACCGGGUGUCUUGGGUGGCUAGCACGUUUACUUUGAAAAAAUUAGAGUGCUCAAUACAGGCGUAAAGCCUUGAAUAGUGGUGCAUGGAAUAAUAGAAUAGGACCUCGGCUCUAUUUUGUUGGUUUUCGGAACGCGAGGUAAUGAUUAAGAGGGACAGACGGGGGCAUUCGUAUUGCGACGUUAGAGGUGAAAUUCUUGGAUCGUCGCAAGACGGACGACUGCGAAAGCAUUUGCCAAGAAUGUUUUCAUUAAUCAAGAACGAAAGUUAGAGGUUCGAAGGCGAUCAGAUACCGCCCUAGUUCUAACCGUAAACGAUGCCAACUAGCGAUUCGCAGGCGUUAAACAACGACCUUGCGGGCAGCUUCCCGGAAACGAAAGUGUUCGGGUUCCGGGGGAAGUAUGGUUGCAAAGCUGAAACUUAAAGGAAUUGACGGAAGGGCACCACCAGGAGUGGAGCCUGCGGCUUAAUUUGACCCAACACGGGAAAACUCACCCGGCCCGGACACCGUAAGGAUUGACAGAUUGAGAGCUCUUUCUUGAUUCGGUGGGUGGUGGUGCAUGGCCGUUCUUAGUUGGUGGAGCGAUUUGUCUGGUUUAUUCCGAUAACGAACGAGACUCUGGCCUACUAAAUAGUGGGCGGAUUCUUUCUGUCCGCAACACUUCUUAGAGGGACAAGCGGUGUUCAGCCGCACGAGAUUGAGCAAUAACAGGUCUGUGAUGCCCUUAGAUGUCCGGGGCUGCACGCGCGCUACACUGAAGGAAUCAGCGUGCUUUCUGACCUUGCCCGAAAGGGCUGGGUAACCCGAUGAAAAUCCUUCGUGAUUGGGAUAGGGACUUGCAAUUAUUUCCCUUGAACGAGGAAUUCCCAGUAAGUGUGGGUCAUAAGCUCGCGUUGAUUACGUCCCUGCCCUUUGUACACACCGCCCGUCGCUGCCCGGAACUGAGCCGUUUCGAGAAGAACAGGGACCGUCGUUGAAGGGCCUUAACGGGCUUUUCUCUGAUAGAAACUGUUUUAAUCGCAGUGGCUUGAACCGGGCAAAAGUCGUAACAAGGUU